UCUCUAGUGGUUCAAUUGGUAAAGAAUCUGCCCAUAAUGCAGAAGACCUGGGUUCGAUCCCUGGCUCGGGAA
RNAcentral lists this transfer RNA (72 nucleotides) under Bos taurus (domestic cattle). It matches the Rfam family "tRNA". Rfam says of the family: Transfer RNA (tRNA) molecules are approximately 80 nucleotides in length. Their secondary structure includes four short double-helical elements and three loops (D, anti-codon, and T loops). Lineage: Eukaryota; Metazoa; Chordata; Mammalia; Artiodactyla; Bovidae. The record is from Rfam by way of RNAcentral. RNAcentral also lists the same sequence under 4 other names.